Molecule: ribosomal RNA, 262 nt
Filed under: Coccomyces dentatus
Lineage: Eukaryota; Fungi; Ascomycota; Leotiomycetes; Rhytismatales; Rhytismataceae
Description: partial 18S ribosomal RNA
Rfam family: Group I catalytic intron (bases 25-232)
About the family: Group I catalytic introns are large self-splicing ribozymes. They catalyse their own excision from mRNA, tRNA and rRNA precursors in a wide range of organisms. The core secondary structure consists of 9 paired regions (P1-P9).
Source: RNAcentral
AAAAAGUCGUAACAAGGUUUCCGUAGGUAGCAGUUUUUGCCUACUAAAGCAGCUCAACAGCCGCUAGUCUCCCCUGGAGGCGACACGCUCAGCAUGCGGAAAAACCCUGAAUUCAGGGAAACCCGCAGCCCACCGCGCUUACCCGGCGGUGGGUUCAGAGACUCGAUGAGUGUGGGUGCUAAGCGAAAGCUCAGCGCUUGAGAUAGAGCCCGUCCCCGCUGGAAACUGCGGGGGAUGAACGGAACCUGCGGAAGGAUCAUUA